RNAcentral lists this transfer RNA (68 nucleotides) under Liolaemus darwinii. RNAcentral describes it as "tRNA-Pro". Lineage: Eukaryota; Metazoa; Chordata; Lepidosauria; Squamata. The record is from RNAcentral.
CAAGAGAUAGUUUAAUUAAAAUGCCGGCUUUGGGGGUCGGGGUUGUGAGGCAGAACUUACUCUUUUGA